RNAcentral lists this ribosomal RNA (301 nucleotides) under uncultured bacterium. Its description in RNAcentral is "partial 16S ribosomal RNA". It matches the Rfam family "Bacterial small subunit ribosomal RNA", at positions 509 to 807 of the family's 1533-position model. The record is from RNAcentral.
CAGCAGCCGCGGUAAUACGAAGGGGGCUAGCGUUGUUCGGAAUUACUGGGCGUAAAGCGCACGUAGGCGGCUUUGUAAGUUAGAGGUGAAAGCCUGGAGCUCAACUCCAGAAUUGCCUUUAAGACUGCAUCGCUUGAAUCCGGGAGAGGUGAGUGGAAUUCCGAGUGUAGAGGUGAAAUUCGUAGAUAUUCGGAAGAACACCAGUGGCGAAGGCGGCUCACUGGACCGGCAUUGACGCUGAGGUGCGAAAGCGUGGGGAGCAAACAGGAUUAGAUACCCCCGUAGUCCCUGUCUCUUAUAC